Molecule: long non-coding RNA, 201 nt
Filed under: Prunus persica (peach)
Lineage: Eukaryota; Viridiplantae; Streptophyta; Magnoliopsida; Rosales; Rosaceae
Description: long non-coding RNA (PPER_LNC002689)
Source: RNAcentral
UCAAAUCCUCUUAUCAAAAUCCCUAAACACAUACCCUUAAAUCUUAUACACGUACAUCUCAAAUCCAAUUCCUACAUCAAAUUCCUCCAAUCACAAUUCCUCACAUUCUCAUAUCGCAUCUUACAUUUGCUGCGAUGUCAGGAACCCCUACAAUUCUCCCCCUUAUUGCAGACUCACAGAAGCAUGUGGUCAAUCCUGCUG